GUGAAAGAUUCAAGUAAUCAAAUCGUGGAUGACUGGGUUUGGGAGCCGAAGAAGAACGUGGCAAGCUGCGAUAAGCUUGGGGGACCCGCAAGCAGGGGUUGAUCCCAAGAUCUUCGAAUUAUUCCGUUAAGGAAUGGGCACGCAGGGAAUCGAAGCAUCCUAGUACCUGCAGGAAAAGACAACAACCGUGAUACGGGUAGUAAGGUCGACUGAAAUCCGUAGAGGGCAAACCGAAUCUGUUACGGUAACGUAAUAGAGAUGUGGAGUUCGGACUCGCGUACAUCCUGUUUUGUGAACACAAGUCUCCUGGAACGGAGCGCCAGAGCGCGUGAUAGCCGCGUGUGUGCAACAAAAUGGGUUGAUUUCGAGUAUCCAGAGUAUGCUGCGCCGGAUACCGCUGCAGAACACCCGGGCCAUUAUCCCGGAACCCUAAAUACACCCCAAAACCGAUAGCAUACGAGUACCGUGAGGGAAAGUUGAAAGAGUACUCUUAACCGAGAGUGCAAAGCGCCUGAAACGAUUUGAUGACGGAGAGAGGCGGCAUGGAAGAAACGACGAUGUCGGAAGCGAUGCAUAGCAAUGUGCAAAGUCACGAUGUCCGAUCAGUGUUGCCUCGUACGUCCUGAAGCACGAGCGAGGGAGUUUAUGCGUGUGGCGAGGCUAAGCUCUUUCCAGAGCGCAGCCGGAGGGAAACCGAUUGGGCGCAAUCCGCAAGGAUGAGGCCCUACAUGUUAACUCGUGUUGAGUCACCCGCAUACGACCCGAAGCCUUGUGAUCUAUCCCUGGGGAGAUUGAAGCCCGACUUCCGUUGGGUGGAGGAUCGAAACCAGUUCUAGUCCUACUGUUUGGGUCACCUGGGGAUAGGAGUAAAAUGUCAUUCGAACAAGGUGAUAGCGGGCUCCGCUUGAAACGGCCCUUAGGCCGGCUUCCAUGGAGACGGGGUGCGUUGUAGAGUUACUAAUUAGAACUUUUCGCCUGGAAACGGGUGGAGUUCUUGUUAAACUCCGAAUAUGCAUCCGUUGUAGAAGUGGAGAGUGGGGGAACGCGGGUAAGCCGCGUUUCCGAAAGGGAAAGAACCCGGUGCGUGGUUAAGGCCCAUAAAUGAUAGUUAAGUGUGAACAAAGUGCGUUGGUUUCCAUAGACAGUGGGGAGGUAGGCUUAGAAGCAGCCAUCCUUCAAAGAAAGCGUAACAGCUCACCCAUCUAGGACGCCAGCCGCGAAGAUACGCUGGGCUCAAACUAUCUGCCGACACCACGUGAUACGUUCUUUUAGAGCGUAAUUCAGUAAAGCGGUAUACGGGCGGCGUCGAAGCAGGGCCAUAAGGUCCUGUGGAGCUACCUGUAUCAUGGAUCCUCGCGCUAGUAAUGAAAUAGAGGAGUGAGAAUCUCCUCCGUCGAAAGGGCAAGGGUUCCUCAGCGCUAGUCAUUAGCUGAGGGUUAGUCGGUCCUAAGUCCUCGCAUAACGCGUGAAGGGCGAAAGGGAAACAGGUUCAUAUUCCUGUACGACGAUGAUACGAAUAUCGGCAACGAUCGGGGGACAUGUAACGUAUGGGGCUAUGCGGUGUGCGCUCGUCUGCGCAUUCAAGGCCUAUAUGCCAAUGGAGAAUCGUCAUGGUGAGAAGUUGGCAAAAGGGUUGGAGCAGCAAUGUUCCGCAAAGGCCCGAUGCCCAUGAAAAACGUGUCCUCAAGGAUUCAUUGUCUCCGUACCGAGAACCGAGAAAGGUGCCCCUGGCUGAGAAGGCCAAGACGUUCCGGAACAAACUCUUGUAAGGGAAUUCGGCAAUCUAGCCCCGUAUCUUAGGUAGAAGGGGUGCCUCUGCGUGCAUAACGUGGAGGUUGCAAUAACAAAGGGAGUCCGACUGUUUAUCAAAAACGUAGGUGACUGCAAUGCUGCGAAGCUGAGUAUAGUCACCGACUUCUGCUCACUGCAAGUAGCUGAACACGGGUUUCAACCCGUCUAAAGCCUUGUGAAGAGCGGGCCUAACUCUGAGGCUCUCACGGUAGCGUAAUACCUUGCCGGUUUAUUGCCGGCUUGCACCAAGGAAGUAACGAGAUUCCUGCUGUCCCUACAAGGGGUCCGAUGAACUCACUACGCGGUGAAUAUGCCGCGGAACUCCAACGGGAAGAGAAGACCCCACGGCAGUUUACCACACCCUGUCGUUGUUGUAAGAAGCGUGAUGUGCAGUGUAGAUGGGAGCGACGAAACGGCUUCGCCAGGAGCCGCGAAUGCGAAAGUGCAACACCAUCCUUUGCGUUUCUUACGGCUUACCUCCUUUGGGGGGACACCGAUAGGCUUGGUGGUUUGACUGGGGCGGUACGCCCCUGAAAAUGUAUCAGGGGCGCCCAAUGGUCUGCUCAGGUGAGUCAGAAAUUCACCGUAGAGUGCAAAAGCAAAAGCAGGCUUGACGGUGAUCUACAUAGCAAGGAUCGCCGAUGGGAAACCAGGGUUUAGCGAGCGCUAGUGUCCCAAGUAAUGGGGGCCUAGUCUAACAGUGAACCGAUCCUGGGGGUAACUGAGUGGUCGCGGGAGAGCGUUCACAGCGACCCCGCGGUUUGCGACCUCGCCGUCGUCUCAAGACAUCCUGGCCGUGCAUAAGCGGCCAAGGGUGGAGGGGUUUACUCAUUAAAGUCUUUCGUUAGUUGGGUUAAGAACGGUGCGAGCCAGUUUGGUUACUAUCUGUUGGAGUUGUUGAGGGUCUGAGGGAAAGUUUCACUGAGUACGAGAGGAACGGUGAGAUGGAGCCACUGGUACACCAGUUGUCCGACAGGGCACUGCUGGGUAGCCACGCUCUAGGCGAUAAACGCUGAAAGCAUCUAAGCGUGAAGCGCCCCCUGAAAAUAGACCUUCGUGUUGGAUCUGCUGAGCGAAACCUCAGUGUUACCAACCGAGCGUGCCGUUAGAAGAACGGGUUGAUAGGCGCGCGGUGUACGCACGAAGCUUCGGCGACGUGUUCAGCCGACGCGUACUAAUAACGCAAGGAAUUUUCACU
This is a ribosomal RNA of 2989 nucleotides. It matches the Rfam family "Archaeal large subunit ribosomal RNA".